RNAcentral lists this ribosomal RNA (479 nucleotides) under uncultured bacterium. RNAcentral's name for it is "partial 16S ribosomal RNA". It matches the Rfam family "Bacterial small subunit ribosomal RNA", at positions 28 to 507 of the family's 1533-position model. The record is from RNAcentral.
GAUGAACGCUAGCGGGAGGCCUAACACAUGCAAGCCGAGCGGUAUUGUUUCUUCGGAAAUGCGAGAGCGGCGUACGGGUGCGUAACACGUGUGCAACCUGCCUUUAUCUGGGGGAUAGCCUUUCGAAAGGAAGAUUAAUACUCCAUAAUAUAUUGAACGGCAUCGUUUAAUAUUGAAAGCUCCGGCGGAUAGAGAUGGGCACGCGCAAGAUUAGCUAGUUGGUGAGGUAACGGCUCACCAAGGCGAUGAUCUUUAGGGGGCCUGAGAGGGUGAUCCCCCACACUGGUACUGAGACACGGACCAGACUCCUACGGGAGGCAGCAGUGAGGAAUAUUGGUCAAGGGGUGCAAGCCUGAACCAGCCAUCCCGCGUGAAGGACGACUGCCCUAUGGGUUGUAAACUUCUUUUGUAUAGGGAUAAACCUACCCUCGAGAGGGUAGCUGAAGGUACUAUACGAAUAAGCACCGGCUAACUCCGUG